UGGAAAGCAGCGAUCAAAUGAGAAAUUUAUCUAUAAGAGAUGAGACCAGUAAAUGUACUGCCAAACUGAAGUGAUCCUAAAGGCCUGGACAUCCUUAUGCGUGAGAAAAGCAUGGUAAACAGCGUGAAGAUUUACAGGAUUUCAGAACAGCAAUAAUUUUUGCUUAAUACCAGCUAUUGAGCACAUUUCUCUUUUAUUAUUGUUGUAAAGGAUAACUAUUACAAAUUUUAAUGAGUUAUGUCUCAACCUGUUUAGCAAUAAUGACUGUGCAUGUUAGUUUGUGAUUCUCUCAUUGCUUCAUCAACUUUCUUUUCUUAAUGGUGUUUUACAGGGG
RNAcentral lists this long non-coding RNA (334 nucleotides) under Anas platyrhynchos platyrhynchos (common mallard). RNAcentral describes it as "lncRNA (ENSAPLG00000018049.1)". Lineage: Eukaryota; Metazoa; Chordata; Aves; Anseriformes; Anatidae. The record is from RNAcentral.